ACGGAAUAUUUGACUUGAUGACAUAAAUAGAACGAGUUAUGAUUAAUGCGCAUGUUGAUGUUCGAAUAAAUAGUUCGAACCUAAAUGAUAGUUAUGUGAUAAAAUGUUUUGAGUUUAAGGUUUUGAAUGAGACAAGAUUAAUAUGGAUGCUAGAACCCUAAAAUCAUUAAAGGAGAUAGUUUAGUUUAGAGACCUAUCUUCCUUUCUUACACGACUUUCUUCUCGAACUUAUCGACUCUUCGUCAAUAAAGGUCCAGACGGGAAGUGAAAGCUAAAGAAGGAGGUAACUCUACGCCCCUAGUGGGAACGGAAUGAGGUGGGCUUUCUUAAAACACGUAUAUAGAGAUCCCCUGCAUACAGGCCUCUUAUACGAAAUGAAAUGAAUGACAUGAUAUGACUGUAUUAUUUCAAAUGGUGAAUGGUUCUUAUGAAAUGAAAUGUUUAUGGAAAUGAUUAAAUGAUGAAUGGUUCUUAUGAAAGGAAAGGAAAUGUUUAUGAAAUGAUUGUCUGCCAAAAAUGUUUAUGUUUUAUGUAUGUAUCCUAUCUGUGUUGGUUCGCCAACUAUAAAGGAAAUCGA
RNAcentral lists this long non-coding RNA (577 nucleotides) under Salvia miltiorrhiza (redroot sage). RNAcentral's name for it is "long non-coding RNA (SMIL_LNC000917)". The record is from RNAcentral. Lineage: Eukaryota; Viridiplantae; Streptophyta; Magnoliopsida; Lamiales; Lamiaceae.